RNAcentral lists this long non-coding RNA (700 nucleotides) under Olea europaea subsp. europaea. Lineage: Eukaryota; Viridiplantae; Streptophyta; Magnoliopsida; Lamiales; Oleaceae. The record is from RNAcentral.
GAGAAGCAGAGACCGUGAGAAAAGAAAGAAGAAAGGAAAAGAAGAAAGGAAAAAGAAGAAGAAAAAAGGGAGGAAGAAAGGAGGUAAGGCUAAUCUCUUCAAGUUGGAAUGUAAUUUAUCCAUUGUUCCAAGUGAUAAAUGUGUGAUUUAUGUUAAAUUUUUAGGGUUUUAACUUGUAGUAAUAAAAUGUCAAAUUUAGGUGACAUAUGUACGAUUUGGAACUUAAGCUUGGGGAUUAAUUAAGUUUCAGUUUCAGUAAGGUAGGCAGUAAAAUUUGUGGGAACCCUAGAAUUCGAUUUAGGAUUUUUGAUUAAUUAAUUGUGGAAAUGAUUAUAUAAAUGGAAUAUUUCACUUGGAGUUGAUUUUAUGAAACAAAAUGUAUAUUAAAUGGGUGGAAUUAUGGUUACUAGUUUCACUAGAUUGGAGAGUAAAAUUAGUUUUAAACUUGAGAAGAAGGUUUUGUUGAUGAAUUAGUUAUUAGAAAUGGGAUUAGAAUGUGGGAUUAGCUCCAAUUGAUCAAAAGAAAAUUUGGGAAAUUCAUUCGAGACCAAUUUUAGUUAAGUAUUAUAGAAGUAGAUCUUAAAGUUUCUUAAUUUAUUAGUGAUUGGUUGGUCAUCUUGUUAUGUAUUCCAAGUGGUGACGAGGAGAUUGGAAGAGCCUAUCCAACAUCUUAGGUUCAACUUGUGUUAUGUGAGUGGAU